AGACCACCUGAAGGUAUUCUUCAAGUAGUCCACUUUGGCGGCAAUCUUCUCCUCGCUGAGAAAUGCGACAGCCUGCAGUGCCUGCCUGAACAUCCCAGAGCCACGGGGCACGCCUAUACCUUGGGCACAUGCCACCAUGGCCCGAACACGCUCCGGGUUGGUGGUGAGCAUCCUCGGCACAGAGACGCACAGCUUGGCAAUAUCACAAUCACCUAG
This 216-nucleotide ribosomal RNA is filed under the name Triticum aestivum (bread wheat). RNAcentral's name for it is "partial small subunit ribosomal RNA". Lineage: Eukaryota; Viridiplantae; Streptophyta; Magnoliopsida; Poales; Poaceae. The record is from RNAcentral.